Molecule: ribosomal RNA, 253 nt
Filed under: Ruminococcus flavefaciens
Lineage: Bacteria; Bacillati; Bacillota; Clostridia; Eubacteriales; Oscillospiraceae
Also listed under: 2 other names
Description: partial 16S ribosomal RNA
Rfam family: Bacterial small subunit ribosomal RNA
Source: RNAcentral
UACGUAGGGAGCGAGCGUUGUCCGGAAUUACUGGGUGUAAAGGGAGCGUAGGCGGGAUUGCAAGUCAGAUGUGAAAGGCGGAGGCUCAACCUCCGAGCUGCAUUUGAAACUGUAGUUCUUGAGUGAAGUAGAGGUAAGCGGAAUUCCUGGUGUAGCGGUGAAAUGCGUAGAUAUCAGGAGGAACACCGGUGGCGAAGGCGGCUUACUGGGCUUUUACUGACGCUGAGGCUCGAAAGCGUGGGGAGCAAACAGG